Molecule: long non-coding RNA, 3774 nt
Organism: Oxyura jamaicensis (ruddy duck)
Lineage: Eukaryota; Metazoa; Chordata; Aves; Anseriformes; Anatidae
Exons: 9
Source: RefSeq, a predicted model, not a curated record
GAGCAUUUUGUGCACAAGGCAUAGCAUCUUGCUCUUCUGGUUUUGAAUGGCGGGACCUCAGUGUUUGGUGUAUCAGCCAAGGCCACAGAUAGGAAACCUUUUUGCAGUGAAGACCCUGCUUGACUUGACUCAAUGGGGUGGCAGCUGUGGCUGUCAUUAACAGAUAAGUUGUGCCAGCUGGCUUCUUGCCGCCCUUUGGUGGGGGUCUGGUUGGUGCUUAGCAGUUACCGCUUCCUCUCCAGAUAGCUGCCAAGAUGAGGAAGGAACCUGUUCAUCCAUCUGAUGACCAGAUUAGAGUAGCUGCUGAAUUAGCUGCUGUGAAAUACCUAUAGACCAUCAGGAGCAGUUUCCAAGGAGACUACAUCCUUGUGGGCUGAAUCUUCAGCAGGUACAUAUUAGCUCAUUUCCAGUGAAGUCUUCAGGCAGAAAGACAACUUCUCACAGACCUGUCUUACCACCUGCUUCCUGUUUUAUUUUUUCAUGGAUGCAACUUUCCCUGCAGGAAGAAGGGAACAGUUUUCUCCAUGCACCUGUUGGGGGAGAGAAACAAGGCUGCUUCGACCAUCAAUCUGUGGGACCUCAGAGCUCAGCCUGAAAGCAAGGGUGAAACGAAAUACGAAAAUUGCACUGCAGUAGAAGAGGAGUCAGCUAUCUGAGGGCCUCUGCUGAAAUCCCAUCUUUCGGGUGAUGUGGGAUUUCUCACCUUCUGAAAAUCCUGUUCAUGCUGCUGCUUCACAUUACUGGUUUCCCAAGUUGGUGCUGUAACUUCCUCAUUUGCCAUGGAAGGAUUGCUAUCUCAACUCAUCGGCACUGUUUAAAACCUGAUUACUGGUUUCAGAAAUUGAGAUUACCAUUUCUGCUCCUAUUUAAGACUGAGGGAGAAAUGUGAAAGUCUGAAAUCUUUUCAACACUGGAAAACAGCUUUCUACCAAGUGCCCCUCAAAUGAGAUUGCAGAAAUUCUUCUUUCUCCUUCCCUGGCUCUGUUACUACGCAGUUCUCUUCAUGCUUGUCUCCAAGACCAAAUCUGAGCCAGCCUGAGAUUUGUGCUAACGGAAAUCAUAGUUUCUUCAGCCAAGAACAUCUAGUUUGAAGUCUGAGAAGGGCUGGUAUAUCUCCAUAACAGUGUGUAAGGACAGCCCAAACAUCUUCACAUUCCCAGCCUGGAUUCCUGCUGCCAGCAAGCCCGUUGGAUGCUCCUGCUUGGCUUCUGGCUGCGCUCGCUGCCGGAUCCGUGUGUGAUGAUGGCACCACACCGAGAACAGGGUGGUCUGCCGGUACCCUGGGGAUGCAGAGGUCAAGUUGGGUUCCAAUGGAGCCUCCAUGGAGCAUCCUUGGUGUGAGAGACCAGUGAUGACAACAAGCUUUCUCCAUCACAAAGCAGAAGAGAUGUGAUCCUCUUUCCUGUGCUGAAGGAUGAGACACCUUGGGUAAAAGCCCCACAAGGGAGAUCUCCAUCGGUGUCUUCUGCCACAUGUUGACCUCUACAUCCCUUAGUGCUACUGAAAUCUUCUGUGCACCCCACAGGCCUGAGGGAGAUUGGUGGUGUGGCUGGAGAGAUAAAUCCCUUUCAGAGGAGCAGCGUCUUUUGUUACAACAUGGGUGAUAAAAUGAAUUGUACAGCUGUUAAAGUACUUUUAUACCAUGAUAACUGCAGCCACCCAAGGGUUUGUAAGCCAGAGCUACACAACAUAACAAGAAAACCCAGCUGUAUUUAAGCUGGCAUUGGACCCCACAUGCACUAAUCUCGCACAGUUGCAAGGGUGAAGAGUCAACAACUAUUUGCCAGGAAGCUUUAUAAACACUGCUGACAUGCUUGAGCUAAGAGUACAUUGGGUCAAUAUACAAAUUUAUGUAUCUCUCAAUAAAACAUACAUUCAUGUGGCUUUUGGGUCAAACUUAAAGGGCAUUUACCUCUGAUAGGCACCAGCUGUUAUUUUCCUGCAGAAUUCUGGGACUCCAAAAGCACAGACAGCCAGAAAGUCUGAAUUUAAGAGGAGGAGGAUUAAAGAAGAUCCACAACAGUAAAUAAGUUCUGCAAAGAUGCCAUUUUGUGGUGAAGUCAUGCCACUACCAUUAUCAACCAGCCAUAGCAACUGGUAUCAGAAGGACACCACAGCAUUGCUAUCAGGUGGGUUAGUAGUAAUUAUAAGGUGCUUAUUCAGUCUAAGGAAAAUACACUGCAGAUUACUCACUGGCAUCCAAAAUGGCAUAAUUAAUUGGAGCCAUUUAUUAAGACAAAUAAAGGGUUAUAGCUAAGCAGGGUGCUUACAGUUAAUUUAUAGUUAACUAGGGCAUUCAUUUUACCCUGCUCACAUCCACCUAGCAGUUUAGUGAGAAGAUUUCAUCAUGCCUUUGAGAAGUGCGAAUGCUGGGUCUUCUCUCAUGCCAUGUGACCUUACCACCCUUAAUGUGUUUGCAGUUGGUAAAAGACUGUUUUCCUUUGCCCAGUUAUGGUUUAAAUGGUCUUUCUCAAAUCAGUAUUUCUUCAGCUCUCUAACAACUAAAGCGCAGUAAAAAUAUACCUUAUUUUCUCAUGUCUUGCAUGUGCUGAAUCUUUCCUAUGCCCAUAAUCAGGGGUGAUCCUCAACUAGUUUAUAAGAGAUUUAUCAUGAGAUCAUACAUUGUUUUCAUAAAACUCAUACAGAAGUCCACAUGAGCUCUUUUAUCAUUGGUAAAACAGUCCCAGCUCAGUUCAAAAGAGUUAUUAUAAACCAAGACAAAAUAUUUUCUCAGAGAAUCAUGCCGAUUGAAGUUUAAGUGUAUGUGCAGCUUCUGGCUCCUCAUUGCACCAUGCUACCUGCAAAUUGGGUGGAGAGCACCUUAAGCUAAGUCUUUUAAUUGCUCUGUUAGAAAUGACAUGGGGGCUGCUACUGGUCUCUUUUCACAGAGGUCACCCUACACCCCCCACUACAAACCCUUGUCAUGUAAACCCAAUGCAGCUGUCUAAUUGUUACAGUUUUGUGAAGGGGGGGGGGGGGUAUGAACCUUGUCCAUAUCAGAUUUGUAUUUCUGCUCAAAUUUGUUUAUUGUCUGUUCUUUGUAAGCUCGUUUUAUCGACUGUUUUUUUCUUAUUAGAUGUUCAUACUAACUGGGAUUGCAAUGCACUGAAAUCUCAUAAUGUUCUGGUUUUUUAUACCACUGGUCACUCUGCCCUAACCCUAGAUGUAUGCACUGAAUAGCCACAUUGUUCGUUUAUAAUGUCCUUGGCUUUUCUAUAGCCUUGUCCCUGUGAUAUUACUUGUGGACACAGUGGGCUAGAUUGAAGACAGUGAAGUUAAAAGUAGUGAUGUAUGCAGCUAUGUAACUGUAAGAAGAAAUGUAUUGAUUCCACAUACUUCCUUUUCUAACCUGCUGUAAGGUGUUUCAUCAUGCAGGACAUCAUGGAGAUCUUAUAUUUAUUACUUAACAUACAUUGAAAGGUUUGACUUCUCUUUCUUGCUGGCUUUCUGAAUGGAAAAAGCUGUUGUUAACAUGUCUUGCGUGUCAGAGAUCAGGCUGUUCAUGACAGCUUAUGAAGCUUUGAACGUAUAUAGUAAUAGAGAGGAAUGGCAAACUGUUAUAUUAAUGUAGCUGAAGCACAAAACUUGAAACUGUUGACCUUGCCAGCUCUGCAUUUGGGGCAAAUGUUACUGCAGUGAAUAGAGUAACUUUAACUAGGCUUAAACAGAAGUUGUUUUUAAUUUUUUUUUUCACAUGUUUUGCCCUGGUAUAGAUAAAUGUGAAUGCCUAAGAAGGGCUGGGCAAAAGACUAAAGAUAGAUGCAAUUUUGCAAA